AGAGUUUGAUCCUGGCUCAGGACUAACGCUGACGGUGUGCUUAAUACAUGCAAGUCGAACGGGCGAUAGGAGAGUGGCAACACUUUCUUAAAGCUAGUGGCGAACGGGUGCGUAACGCGUGGGUAAUCUGCCUUGAAGAUUGGGAUAACUCCUUGAAAAAGGAGCUAAUACCGGAUGUGCUGUAAUUCUCGCAUGUUUUUUACAGUAAAAGUAGCCGCAAGGCUUCUGCUUCAAGAUGAGCCCGCGUCCUAUUAGCUUGUUGGUAGGGUAACGGCCUACCAAGGCUAUGAUGGGUAGCCGGUCUGAGAGGAUGGUCGGUCACACUGGGACUGAGAUACGGCCCAGACUCCUACGGGAGGCAGCAGUAGGGAAUCUUGCGCAAUGGGCGAAAGCCUGACGCAGCGACACCGUGUGAAGGAUGAAGGUCUUCGGAUCGUAAACUUCUGUCAAUUGGGGACGAAGGUACUAAGGUUAAUAGCCUUUAGUAUUGACGGUACCCAAAAAGGAAGUCUCGGCUUACUCCGUGCCAGCAGCCGCGGUAAGACGGGGGAGGCUAGCGUUGUCCGGAAUUAUUGGGCGUAAAGAGCGCGUAGGUGGCUUAUCAAGUCAUUUGUGAAAACUUUAGGCUUAACUUAAAGAUUGCAAGUGAUACUGGUGGGCUUGAGCACAGCAGAGGAAAGUGGAAUUCCUGGUGUAGCGGUGAAAUGCGCAGAUAUCAGGAAGAACACCAGUGGCGAAGGCGGCUUUCUGGGCUGUUGCUGACACUGAGGCGCGAAAGCUAGGGGAGCGAACAGGAUUAGAUACCCUAGUAGUCC
RNAcentral lists this ribosomal RNA (815 nucleotides) under uncultured bacterium. Its description in RNAcentral is "bacterial SSU rRNA". It matches the Rfam family "Bacterial small subunit ribosomal RNA", at positions 8 to 796 of the family's 1533-position model. The record is from RNAcentral.